UGCAUUAAGUGAUCCGCCUGGGGAGUACGUCCGCAAGGAUAAAACUCAAAGGAAUUGACGGGGACCCGCACAAGCGGUGGAGCAUGUUCUUUAAUUCGAUGCAACACGAAGAACCUUACCUGGGUUUGACAUCCGCGGAAUCGCUACGAAAGUAGCGAGUGCUCACUUUGUGAGAACCGCGUGACAGGUACUGCAUGGCUGUCGUCAGUUCGUGUCGUAAGAUGUUGGGUUAAGUCCCGUAACGAACGCAACCCCUGUCUUUAGUUGCCAGCAUUAAGUUGGGGACUCUAGAGAGACUGCCAAGGUGACAACUUGGAGGAAGGUGGGGAUGACGUCAAGUCCAUAUGGUCCUUACAUCCAGGGCGAGAAACGUGCUACAAUGGUUGGUACAAUGGGGAGCAAAAUCGCAAGAUUGAGCAAAUCCUCAAAACCAAUCUCAGUUCGGAUUGGAGUCUGCAACCCGACUCCAUGAAGUUGGAAUCGCUAGUAAUCGCGGAUCAGCAUGCCGCGGUGAAUACGUAUCCGGGUCUUGUACACACCGCCCGUCAAGUCAAC
This 555-nucleotide ribosomal RNA is filed under the name uncultured bacterium. RNAcentral's name for it is "bacterial SSU rRNA". It matches the Rfam family "Bacterial small subunit ribosomal RNA", at positions 856 to 1406 of the family's 1533-position model. The record is from RNAcentral.